This 442-nucleotide ribosomal RNA is filed under the name uncultured Prevotella sp. RNAcentral describes it as "bacterial SSU rRNA". It matches the Rfam family "Bacterial small subunit ribosomal RNA", at positions 354 to 788 of the family's 1533-position model. The record is from RNAcentral. Lineage: Bacteria; Pseudomonadati; Bacteroidota; Bacteroidia; Bacteroidales; Prevotellaceae.
UGAGGGAAUAUUUGGGGUCAAUGGGCGAGAGCCUGAACCAGCCAAGUAGCGUGCAGGAUGACGGCCCUAUGGGUUGUAAACUGCUUUUAUAAGGGAAUAAAGUGGGGCUCGUGAGCUCUUUUGCAUGUACCUUAUGAAUAAGGACCGGCUAAUUCCGUGCCAGCAGCCGCGGUAAUACGGAAGGUCCGGGCGUUAUCCGGAUUUAUUGGGUUUAAAGGGAGCGUAGGCCGCAGGUUAAGCGUGUUGUGAAAUGUAGGGGCUCAACCUCUGCACCGCAGCGCGAACUGGUGCCCUUGAGUACGCACGACGUUGGCGGAAUUCGCCGUGUAGCGGUGAAAUGCUUAGAUAUGGCGAAGAACUCCGAUUGCGAAGGCAGCUGACGGGAGCGCUACUGACGCUCAUGCUCGAAAGCGCGGGGUAUCGAACAGGGAUUAGAUACCCU